Molecule: ribosomal RNA, 424 nt
Filed under: uncultured bacterium
Lineage: Bacteria
Description: bacterial SSU rRNA
Rfam family: Bacterial small subunit ribosomal RNA
Source: RNAcentral
GGGAAUAUUGGACAAUGGGCGCAAGCCUGAUCCAGCCAUGCCGCGUGUGUGAAGAAGGCCUUCGGUUUGUAAAGCACUUAUGUUGGGGAAGAAAAGCAUCCGGUUAAUACUAGGGUGUCAUGACGGUACCGUAGGAAUAAGAACCGGCCAACUUCGUGCCAGCAGCCGCGGUAAUACGAAGGGUGCAAGCGUUACUCGGAAUUACUGGGCGUAAAGCGUGCGUAGGUGGUUUGUUAAGUCUGAUGUGAAAGCCCUGGGCUCAACCUGGGAAUUGCAUUGGAUACUGGCAGUCUAGAGUGCGGUAGAGGGUAGCGGAAUUCCCGGUGUAGCAGUGAAAUGCGUAGAUAUCGGGAGGAACAUCCGUGGCGAAGGCGGCUACCUGGACCAGCACUGACACUGAGGCACGAAAGCGUGGGGAGCAAAC